Molecule: ribosomal RNA, 116 nt
Filed under: Pteropus alecto (black flying fox)
Lineage: Eukaryota; Metazoa; Chordata; Mammalia; Chiroptera; Pteropodidae
Source: RNAcentral
GUCUACGGCCAUGCCACCCUGAACAAGCCCGAUGUCUGAUCUCGGAAGCUAAGCAGGGUCAGGCCUGGUUAGUACUUGGAUUGGAGACCACCUAGAAAGACCAGGUGCUGUAGGCA